RNAcentral lists this ribosomal RNA (253 nucleotides) under Faecalibacterium prausnitzii. RNAcentral describes it as "partial 16S ribosomal RNA". It matches the Rfam family "Bacterial small subunit ribosomal RNA", at positions 524 to 776 of the family's 1533-position model. The record is from RNAcentral. Lineage: Bacteria; Bacillati; Bacillota; Clostridia; Eubacteriales; Oscillospiraceae.
AACGUAGGUCACAAGCGUUGUCCGGAAUUACUGGGUGUAAAGGGAGCGCAGGCGGGAAGACAAGUUGGAAGUGAAAUCCAUGGGCUCAACCCAUGAACUGCUUUCAAAACUGUUUUUCUUGAGUAGUGCAGAGGUGGGCGGAAUUCCCGGUGUAGCGGUGGAAUGCGUAGAUAUCGGGAGGAACACCAGUGGCGAAGGCGGCCUACUGGGCACAAACUGACGCUGAGGCUCGAAAGUGUGGGUAGCAAACAGG